UGCAGCUCUGCUUUGCCACUAAUGGUUAAUUUCCAUGUAUCUUCGAGCAGACCGCUUGGCUUUGGUCAAUACUUUUGAAGAUACUUUUGGUGACAUAUAUGGUGGUGGUGUCUGGAGUGAACUCAGUGAAACAGCUUCUUCUAACAUAUCUCAAAAUGUUGUCUCGCUUUUGCUUCAUUCUAUGGGGAAAAAAGGAUUUCUGCAUGCACAGGUUCUUUUAUUGAAUGGAAUGGAUGUGCGACUAUUCUAACUUCGGCUAGCUUGGUCUCACAUUUCGUUGGUGACAAGAAGAUUGCUGAAAACUUGAGAGUUGAUCGAAGUGUUGCUUCCAAAUAAAGAGCGCAGAGGAGGGGCAUUACAGCAUUAUAAUUUGCAUUACAAUGUUGCUCUAGUCAAUGUCAAGGAUUUCAGUGCUCCUCAUCCAGUAAAUAUUCAACCGCAGAGGAGUAAUUAUUCUUCUGAAUUAGUAGCCAUAGGGUGUUGCUUUAAAUCUGGCAUGUUAAUGGCUGCAAGAGGGCAACAUACAGAGAUGUUGGGCAGCUUUGAUUGCAAAUUACUUAAAUGCUCCACAUG
Molecule: long non-coding RNA, 573 nt
Organism: Setaria italica (foxtail millet)
Lineage: Eukaryota; Viridiplantae; Streptophyta; Magnoliopsida; Poales; Poaceae
Exons: 3
Source: RefSeq, a predicted model, not a curated record